GACAGAGGGUGCAAACGUUGUUCGGAUUUACUGGGCGUAAAGCGCGUGUAGGCGGCUUGGCAAGUCGGCUGUGAAAGCCCACGGCUCAACCGUGGAAGCGCAUCCGAAACUGCUUCGCUCGAGUCUCGGAGAGGAAGGUGGAAUGCUUGGUGUAGAGGUGAAAUUCGUAGAUAUCAAGCAGAACACCUGCGGCGAAGGCGGCCUGCUGGACGAUGACUGACGCUGAGACGCGAAAGCGUGGGGAGCAAACAGG
This 253-nucleotide ribosomal RNA is filed under the name uncultured bacterium. Its description in RNAcentral is "partial 16S ribosomal RNA". It matches the Rfam family "Bacterial small subunit ribosomal RNA", at positions 524 to 776 of the family's 1533-position model. The record is from RNAcentral.